GAGCCGUUAGCUCAGCUGGUAGAGCAUCGCCCUUUUAAGGCGAGGGUCGCAGGUUCGACCCCUGCACGGCUCACCC
Molecule: transfer RNA, 76 nt
Filed under: Candidatus Aerophobota bacterium
Lineage: Bacteria; Candidatus Aerophobota
Description: Candidatus Aerophobetes bacterium tRNA-Lys
Rfam family: tRNA
About the family: Transfer RNA (tRNA) molecules are approximately 80 nucleotides in length. Their secondary structure includes four short double-helical elements and three loops (D, anti-codon, and T loops).
Source: RNAcentral